Molecule: transfer RNA, 88 nt
Filed under: Coprinopsis cinerea okayama7#130
Lineage: Eukaryota; Fungi; Basidiomycota; Agaricomycetes; Agaricales; Psathyrellaceae
Description: tRNA-Glu
Rfam family: tRNA
About the family: Transfer RNA (tRNA) molecules are approximately 80 nucleotides in length. Their secondary structure includes four short double-helical elements and three loops (D, anti-codon, and T loops).
Source: RNAcentral
UCGGAUAUGGUGUAACGGCUAACAUUGCCGCCUCUCAUCGUCGAGAGUUUGUCCGCGGCAGCUCGGGGUUCGAUUCCCCGUAUCCGAA